UACGGAGGGUGCAAGCGUUAUCCGGAUUCACUGGGUUUAAAGGGAGCGUAGGUGGGCUGGUAAGUCAGUGGUGAAAUCUCCGGGCUUAACCCGGAAACUGCCGUUGAUACUAUCAGUCUUGAAUAUUGUGGAGGUAAGCGGAAUAUGUCAUGUAGCGGUGAAAUGCUUAGAUAUGACAUAGAACACCGAUAGCGAAGGCAGCUUGCUACACAAUGAUUGACACUGAGGCUCGAAAAGCGUGGGGAUCAAACAGG
This 254-nucleotide ribosomal RNA is filed under the name uncultured bacterium. RNAcentral's name for it is "partial 16S ribosomal RNA". It matches the Rfam family "Bacterial small subunit ribosomal RNA", at positions 524 to 776 of the family's 1533-position model. The record is from RNAcentral.